AGAGUUUGAUCAUGGCUCAGGAUGAACGCUGACAGAAUGCUUAACACAUGCAAGUCUACUUGAUCCUUCGGGUGAUGGUGGCGGACGGGUGAGUAACGCGUAAAGAACUUGCCCUGCAGUCUGGGACAACAUUUGGAAACGAAUGCUAAUACCGGAUAUUAUGUGAGUUUCGCAUGAAAUUCAUAUGAAAGCUAUAUGCGCUGCAGGAGAGCUUUGCGUCCUAUUAGCUAGUUGGUGAGGUAACGGCUCACCAAGGCCAUGAUAGGUAGCCGGCCUGAGAGGGUGAACGGCCACAAGGGGACUGAGACACGGCCCUUACUCCUACGGGAGGCAGCAGUGGGGAAUAUUGGACAAUGGACCAAAAGUCUGAUCCAGCAAUUCUGUGUGCACGAUGAAGUUUUUCGGAAUGUAAAGUGCUUUCAGUUGGGACGAAGUAAGUGACGGUACCAACAGAAGAAGCGACGGCUAAAUACGUGCCAGCAGCCGCGGUAAUACGUAUGUCGCAAGCGUUAUCCGGAUUUAUUGGGCGUAAAGCGCGUCUAGGCGGUUUGGUAAGUCUGAUGUGAAAAUGCGGGGCUCAACUCCGUAUUGCGUUGGAAACUGCCAAACUAGAGUACUGGAGAGGUGGGCGGAACUACAAGUGUAGAGGUGAAAUUCGUAGAUAUUUGUAGGAAUGCCGAUGGGGAAGCCAGCCCACUGGACAGAUACUGACGCUAAAGCGCGAAAGCGUGGGUAGCAAACAGGAUUAGAUACCCUGGUAGU
RNAcentral lists this ribosomal RNA (762 nucleotides) under uncultured bacterium. RNAcentral's name for it is "bacterial SSU rRNA". It matches the Rfam family "Bacterial small subunit ribosomal RNA", at positions 8 to 794 of the family's 1533-position model. The record is from RNAcentral.